Molecule: ribosomal RNA, 2855 nt
Filed under: Saprolegnia parasitica CBS 223.65
Lineage: Eukaryota; Oomycota; Saprolegniomycetes; Saprolegniales; Saprolegniaceae
Description: bacterial LSU rRNA
Rfam family: Bacterial large subunit ribosomal RNA
Source: RNAcentral
AAAAAAGCAUAGAGGGGAUGCCUAGGCAUUAAUUAAUAUUUUUAGGACGUAAUAAAAACGAAAAGCUAUAUGGAAUAAUAAUUUAUUUAUAUAUAUAGAUUUCCUAAAGAAAACUUUUUCUUUGUGAAAAUUUUAAACAUAGUGAAUUGAAAUAUCUUAGUAACUAUUGAAGAAAUCAAACGAGAUUCCGUAAGUAAUGACGAGUGAACAUGGAAAAUAGGUUAUAAAAAAAAUUUAUAUGAAAUAUGUAUAUUCCGAAAAAUUUGAAAAAAUUUACAUUAAAAGGUUAUAGUCCUGUAGGAUGUCAUUCAUAAAAUAUUCAAUUAUUUUAUUUUUUUAUAAGUAAAAAGAGGUAUGUGUAAUCUUUUUUGAAGAUUGGGGGACCACCCUCAAAACCUAUAAAAUAAUUAAUGACCGAUAGUGAACAAGUACUGUAAAGGAAAGGUGAAAAAGAGCUUUCGAGUUUGAAAUAAUUCUGAAACUCUAUGCUAAUAAUCAAUUGGAGCUUUUUAAUAAAGUGACAAUGUACCUUUUGCAUAAUGGGCCAGCAAGUUUAUUUUUUUAGCAAGCUUAAUUUAUUAAUAAAAUAGGCGUAGAGAAAUCAAGUUUUAAAAAGCUUAAAUAAGUUAUGAAAAUAAGACCCGAAACUGAGUGAUCUAAUUAUGAACAGAUUGAAGAAUAGGUAAAACUAUUUGGAGGAUCGAACCCACGUAUGUGGCAUUAUACGGGGAUGAUUUGUGAUUAGGGGUGAAAGGCCAAUCAAACUCAGAGAUAGCUGGUUUUCCGCGAAAUCUAUUGAAGUAGAGCAUUUAAAAAUCUUUUUUUGGGGUAGAGCACUCAUUAAGCUAGGGGGGUUAAAACCUUACUGAACUUUUAGAAACUCCGAAUACAAAAACAAGUAUUUAAAUAGACAGACAUUGGGCGCUAAGGUCCAUUGUCGAGAGGGAAACAGCCCAGAUUGAACGCUAAGGUCCUUAAAUAAUUUUCUAAGUGAUAAAGGAAGUGAAAAAAUAAAGACAACCAAUAGGUAGGCUUGGAAGCAGCCAUCCUUUAAAGAAAGCGUAAUAGCUCAUUGGUCUAGUUUUUUUGCACCGAAAAUGUAUCGGGACUAAAGAAAUUUACCGAAGCGUCAAGUUUACUAAAUAAUAGUAAACGGUAGCGGAACAUUCUGUAUGUUGUUAAAGAUAUGUUGUUAAAUAUAUUGAAGAUAUCAGAAUAGAAAAUGCUGGCAUUAGUAACAAAAAAUAAUGACAAGAAUCAUUAUCACCGAAAAUCCAAGGGUUUCUAUGUUAAGAUUAACUACAUAGAGUUAGACGGCCCCUAAGCAGAACUUGACGAAAGCAAGCUGUGAUGGGAAAAUUUUGAAAUUAAAUUUCUAAUAAAAAGUGACAAAAUAGUAAUAUUUUCAAGAAACAACUUUUUUUAAUAAAUAUUUAAAAUAUAAAUAGUGCUAGAAUUCUUUUAAUAAGAAAUAAUAAAAUAAAAGGCAAGUAAUAUCUUAUUUAUUUAAGAAAAUAAUUAUAUGUUAAAAUAAUUAUACAGCCCACCUAGCUAUAGAAAAACCUUAGUGUUGAGUAACAUUUUAUAUUUUAAUAUUGAAAACCGUACCCUAAACCAACACAGGUGGAUAGGUCGAGUAGACCAAGGUGUAUGAGAUAAUUAUGUUGAAGGAACUCGGCAAAAUGACUCUGUAACUUCGGGAGAAAGAGUACCUUAUAUGAAUCAACGUUUAUAUAAGGUGGCACAGAAUUGGGGGUUGCGACUGUUUAAUAAAAACACAGGACUCUGCUAAAUCGUAAGAUGAUGUAUAGGGUCUGACACCUGCCCGGUGCUGGAAGAUUAAUAGGAGAUGUUUACGCAUUGAAUGAAAGUCCCAGUAAACGGCGGCCGUAACUCUGACGGUCCUAAGGUAGCGAAAUUCCUUGUCGGGUAAGUUCCGACCUGCAUGAAUGGUGUAACGACAUCCCCGCUGUCUCCAACAUAAACUCAGUGAAUUUGAAUUAUCCGUGAAGAUGCGGAUUCUCUAUAGUUAGACGGAAAGACCCCGUGAACCUUUACUACAUCUUUAUACUGUUAUCUUAUAAAAUAUGUGUAGAAUAAGUGGUAAUCUUAGACCUUCACGCCAGUGAAUUGUUUAGAUUUCUUUGAAAUACCACUCUUAUUAUUAUAAAUAACUAAUAUUUUUUUUUAAAUAGACCGUGUAUGGUUGGUAGUUUGACUGGGGCGGUCACCUCCCAAAGAGUAACGGAGGUGUACAAAGGUAAGCUCAAAUUGGCAAUAUAUCAAUUGUGGAAUGUAAUGGUACAAGCUUGCUUGACUGUAAGAUAGACAUAUCAAACAGGGACGAAAGUCGGUCAUAGUGAACCGAUAAUUCUUUGUGGAAAGAUUAUCGCUCAACGGAUAAAAGGUACUCCGGGGAUAACAGGCUGAUGACUCCUAAGAGCUCCUAUCGACGGAGUCGUUUGGCACCUCGAUGUCGACUCAUCACAUCCUGGAGCUGAAGAAGGUUCCAAGGGUUCGGCUGUUCGCCGAUUAAAGUGGUACGUGAGUUGGGUUUAGAACGUCGUGAGACAGUUUGGAUCCUAUCUUCUAUAGAUAUUUUGAAAAAUGAAAGACUCUAAUUCUAGUACGAGAGGACCGAAGAGGAUAAAUCUCUGGUGUAUCGGUUGUUCUAUAUGGGCAGCGCCGAGUAGCUAAAUUUAUAUUGGAUAAUUGCUGAAAGCAUCUAAGCAAGAAACCGUUCUUAAAAUUUUUUCAUAAAAUUGUUUUAGACUAAAACUUUGAUAGGUGAAAAGUGUAAAUAUUGUAAAAUAUGUUAGCUUAUUCAUACUAAUUAUUUUUAAAAAAUAUAUUUU